This 110-nucleotide non-coding RNA is filed under the name unidentified. Its description in RNAcentral is "Listeriaceae bacterium SAM-I sequence". It matches the Rfam family "SAM riboswitch aptamer (S box leader)". From Rfam's summary of the family: The SAM riboswitch is found upstream of a number of genes which code for proteins involved in methionine or cysteine biosynthesis in Gram-positive bacteria. The SAM riboswitch acts at the level of transcription termination control. The record is from RNAcentral.
AUUUUAUCCAGAGAGGUGGAGGGAUUUGGCCCUACGAAACCUCGGCAACAGAUCAUGUAUUGAUACUGUGCCAAUUCCAACAAGCAUUCCAUUUGCUUGGUAGAUAAGGU